CCUACGGGAGGCAGCAGUAAGGAAUAUUGGUCGAUGGACGCAAGUCUGAACCAGCUAUGCCGCGUGAAGGAUUAAGGUCCUCUGGAUUGUAAACUUCUUUUAUAUGGGACGAAAACAGAUCUUUCUAGGUCCUUUGACGGUACCAUAUGAAUAAGCACCGGCUAACUCCGUGCCAGCAGCCGCGGUAAU
Molecule: ribosomal RNA, 189 nt
Filed under: uncultured bacterium
Lineage: Bacteria
Description: partial 16S ribosomal RNA
Rfam family: Bacterial small subunit ribosomal RNA
Source: RNAcentral